Molecule: transfer RNA, 50 nt
Filed under: Hanusia phi
Lineage: Eukaryota; Cryptophyceae; Pyrenomonadales; Geminigeraceae
Description: partial tRNA
Source: RNAcentral
UACAGAGCAACUGUCUUACACGCAGUAGGUCGAGAGUUCGAACCUCUCAA